Long non-coding RNA from Homo sapiens (human), 515 nucleotides. NCBI's taxonomy places the organism in Eukaryota, Metazoa, Chordata, Mammalia, Primates, Hominidae. The record is from Ensembl.
GAAGCAGAUUUUCCCCCAGAGCAUCCAGAUAAGAACUCAGUCCACUCAACAUCUUCAGCUUUGUGAUAUUCCAGGCAUAUUGUGCUGAACUUCUGACUUACAGAACUAAUCCAGAAAGCCUGGAAGAUACUUUUCCAAGAAUUUAUUUUCUGUUUAGAUUCUACCCCUGAAAGUCAGUCCUGAAAGGAUUAUAAAAGCAAGAAAGAAACAUGGACUCUAAGAAUUAACAACAGUGUGGGAAGCCACGGAGGAGAUUUAUGACUACCCUAAAUUGGUUUGUGUUUGGAUGGAUGACUAUUUCCUGCUCUUUAUUACUAGAAAUUGGCAGCAACAUCUCAGAUUGGAUAAUGGUACUGGUGGAAUAAUUACCAGAAAGAAAAAAACAUCCCCACUAAAGUGAUGAAAACAUGUACAGAUUGUCCAACCUUUUGCUUUUGUACCACUUCCCCUUCCAGAUGUCAGGGUUGUGAUUUAUUUCUCCCUAAGAGUUUAAAAAUAAAACUCUCAUCAUAAAA